RNAcentral lists this transfer RNA (77 nucleotides) under Methylophaga muralis. Its description in RNAcentral is "tRNA-Pro". It matches the Rfam family "tRNA". From Rfam's summary of the family: Transfer RNA (tRNA) molecules are approximately 80 nucleotides in length. Their secondary structure includes four short double-helical elements and three loops (D, anti-codon, and T loops). Lineage: Bacteria; Pseudomonadati; Pseudomonadota; Gammaproteobacteria; Thiotrichales; Piscirickettsiaceae. RNAcentral also lists the same sequence under 4 other names. The record is from RNAcentral.
CGGGGCAUGGCGCAGCCUGGUAGCGCACUUGCCUGGGGGGCAAGGGGUCACAGGUUCAAAUCCUGUUGUCCCGACCA